RNAcentral lists this ribosomal RNA (439 nucleotides) under Bacillus sp. oral taxon F14. Its description in RNAcentral is "bacterial SSU rRNA". It matches the Rfam family "Bacterial small subunit ribosomal RNA", at positions 28 to 458 of the family's 1533-position model. Lineage: Bacteria; Bacillati; Bacillota; Bacilli; Caryophanales; Bacillaceae. The record is from RNAcentral.
GACGAACGCUGGCGGCGUGCCUAAUACAUGCAAGUCGAGCGGACAAUUGAGAGCUUGCUCUCAAUUGUUAGCGGCGGACGGGUGAGUAACACGUGGGCAACCUACCCUGUAGACUGGGAUAACUUCGGGAAACCGAAGCUAAUACCGGAUAAUCUUUAGCGUCACAUGGCGCAAAAGUAAAAGUUGGGUUUACCUAACACUACAGGAUGGGCCCCGGCGCAUUAGCUAGUUGGUAAGGUAACGGCUUACCAAGGCGACGAUGCGUAGCCGACCUGAGAGGGUGAUCGGCCACACUGUGACUGAGACACGGCCCAGACUCCUACGGGAGGCAGCAGUAGGGAAUCUUCCGCAAUGGACGAAAGUCUGACGGAGCAACGCCGCGUGAACGAUGAAGGCCUUCGGGUCGUAAAGUUCUGUUGUUAGGGAAGAACAAGUACCG